GAUUAAGUUAUUAAGGGCGCACGGUGGAUGCCUUGGCACUAGAAGCCGAUGAAGGACGUUACUAACGACGAUAUGCUUUGGGGAGCUGUAAGUAAGCUUUGAUCCAGAGAUUUCCGAAUGGGGAAACCCAGCAUGAGUUAUGUCAUGUUAUCGAUAUGUGAAUACAUAGCAUAUCAGAAGGCACACCCGGAGAACUGAAACAUCUUAGUACCCGGAGGAAGAGAAAGAAAAUUCGAUUCCCUUAGUAGCGGCGAGCGAAACGGGAAGAGCCCAAACCAACAAGCUUGCUUGUUGGGGUUGUAGGACACUCUAUACGGAGUUACAAAGGACGACAUUAGACGAAUCAUCUGGAAAGAUGAAUCAAAGAAGGUAAUAAUCCUGUAGUCGAAAAUGUUGUCUCUCUUGAGUGGAUCCUGAGUACGACGGAGCACGUGAAAUUCCGUCGGAAUCUGGGAGGACCAUCUCCUAAGGCUAAAUACUCUCUAGUGACCGAUAGUGAACCAGUACCGUGAGGGAAAGGUGAAAAGCACCCCGGAAGGGGAGUGAAAUAGAACCUGAAACCGUGUGCUUACAAGUAGUCAGAGCCCGUUAAUGGGUGAUGGCGUACCUUUUGUAGAAUGAACCGGCGAGUUACGAUUUGAUGCAAGGUUAAGCAGUAAAUGUGGAGCCGUAGCGAAAGCGAGUCUGAAUAGGGCGUUUAGUAUUUGGUCGUAGACCCGAAACCAGGUGAUCUACCCUUGGUCAGGUUGAAGUUCAGGUAACACUGAAUGGAGGACCGAACCGACUUACGUUGAAAAGUGAGCGGAUGAACUAAGGGUAGCGGAGAAAUUCCAAUCGAACCUGGAGAUAGCUGGUUCUCUCCGAAAUAGCUUUAGGGCUAGCCUCAAGUGAUGAUUAUUGGAGGUAGAGCACUGUUUGGACGAGGGGCCCCUCUCGGGUUACCGAAUUCAGACAAACUCCGAAUGCCAAUUAAUUUAACUUGGGAGUCAGAACAUGGGUGAUAAGGUCCGUGUUCGAAAGGGAAACAGCCCAGACCACCAGCUAAGGUCCCAAAAUAUAUGUUAAGUGGAAAAGGAUGUGGCGUUGCCCAGACAACUAGGAUGUUGGCUUAGAAGCAGCCAUCAUUUAAAGAGUGCGUAAUAGCUCACUAGUCGAGUGACACUGCGCCGAAAAUGUACCGGGGCUAAACAUAUUACCGAAGCUGUGGAUUGUCCUUUGGACAAUGGUAGGAGAGCGUUCUAAGGGCGUUGAAGCAUGAUCGUAAGGACAUGUGGAGCGCUUAGAAGUGAGAAUGCCGGUGUGAGUAGCGAAAGACGGGUGAGAAUCCCGUCCACCGAUUGACUAAGGUUUCCAGAGGAAGGCUCGUCCGCUCUGGGUUAGUCGGGUCCUAAGCUGAGGCCGACAGGCGUAGGCGAUGGAUAACAGGUUGAUAUUCCUGUACCACCUAUAAUCGUUUUAAUCGAUGGGGGGACGCAGUAGGAUAGGCGAAGCGUGCGAUUGGAUUGCACGUCUAAGCAGUAAGGCUGAGUAUUAGGCAAAUCCGGUACUCGUUAAGGCUGAGCUGUGAUGGGGAGAAGACAUUGUGUCUUCGAGUCGUUGAUUUCACACUGCCGAGAAAAGCCUCUAGAUAGAAAAUAGGUGCCCGUACCGCAAACCGACACAGGUAGUCAAGAUGAGAAUUCUAAGGUGAGCGAGCGAACUCUCGUUAAGGAACUCGGCAAAAUGACCCCGUAACUUCGGGAGAAGGGGUGCUCUUUAGGGUUAACGCCCAGAAGAGCCGCAGUGAAUAGGCCCAAGCGACUGUUUAUCAAAAACACAGGUCUCUGCUAAACCGUAAGGUGAUGUAUAGGGGCUGACGCCUGCCCGGUGCUGGAAGGUUAAGAGGAGUGGUUAGCUUCUGCGAAGCUACGAAUCGAAGCCCCAGUAAACGGCGGCCGUAACUAUAACGGUCCUAAGGUAGCGAAAUUCCUUGUCGGGUAAGUUCCGACCCGCACGAAAGGCGUAACGAUUUGGGCACUGUCUCAACGAGAGACUCGGUGAAAUCAUAGUACCUGUGAAGAUGCAGGUUACCCGCGACAGGACGGAAAGACCCCGUGGAGCUUUACUGUAGCCUGAUAUUGAAAUUCGGCACAGCUUGUACAGGAUAGGUAGGAGCCUUUGAAACGUGAGCGCUAGCUUACGUGGAGGCGCUGGUGGGAUACUACCCUAGCUGUGUUGGCUUUCUAACCCGCACCACUUAUCGUGGUGGGAGACAGUGUCAGGCGGGCAGUUUGACUGGGGCGGUCGCCUCCUAAAAGGUAACGGAGGCGCUCAAAGGUUCCCUCAGAAUGGUUGGAAAUCAUUCAUAGAGUGUAAAGGCAUAAGGGAGCUUGACUGCGAGACCUACAAGUCGAGCAGGGUCGAAAGACGGACUUAGUGAUCCGGUGGUUCCGCAUGGAAGGGCCAUCGCUCAACGGAUAAAAGCUACCCCGGGGAUAACAGGCUUAUCUCCCCCAAGAGUUCACAUCGACGGGGAGGUUUGGCACCUCGAUGUCGGCUCAUCGCAUCCUGGGGCUGUAGUCGGUCCCAAGGGUUGGGCUGUUCGCCCAUUAAAGCGGUACGCGAGCUGGGUUCAGAACGUCGUGAGACAGUUCGGUCCCUAUCCGUCGUGGGCGUAGGAAAUUUGAGAGGAGCUGUCCUUAGUACGAGAGGACCGGGAUGGACAUACCUCUGGUGUACCAGUUGUCGUGCCAACGGCAUAGCUGGGUAGCUAUGUGUGGACGGGAUAAGUGCUGAAAGCAUCUAAGCAUGAAGCCCCCCUCAAGAUGAGAUUUCCCAACUUCGGUUAUAAGAUCCCUCAAAGAUGAUGAGGUUAAUAGGUUCGAGGUGGAAGCAUGGUGACAUGUGGAGCUGACGAAUACUAAUCGAUCGAAGACUUAAUCAA
This 2923-nucleotide ribosomal RNA is filed under the name Staphylococcus aureus. RNAcentral's name for it is "bacterial LSU rRNA". It matches the Rfam family "Bacterial large subunit ribosomal RNA". Lineage: Bacteria; Bacillati; Bacillota; Bacilli; Caryophanales; Staphylococcaceae. The record is from RNAcentral.